This 233-nucleotide unclassified non-coding RNA is filed under the name plant metagenome. RNAcentral's name for it is "partial contains small subunit ribosomal RNA, internal transcribed spacer 1, and 5.8S ribosomal RNA". The record is from RNAcentral.
UUUCCGUAGGUGAACCUGCGGAAGGAUCAUUAUUGGAUUUUGAAACUUCAGGCUGCUGCUGGCUCUCCUCGGAGGGCAUGUGCACGCUUGUUGUCCAUUAUUUCUCCCACUGUGCACAAAUUGUAGACCUUUCAGUAGGCCUAAGUUGUUUUUCACAAUCUCUGAAUGUAAUAGAAUGGUUUUGAAUCUUGGGAAAUACAAUACAACUUUCAGCAACGGAUCUCUUGGCUCUC